AGUGAACGCUGGCGGUAGGCCUAACACAUGCAAGUCGAACGGCAGCACAGUAAGAGCUUGCUCUUACGGGUGGCGAGUGGCGGACGGGUGAGGAAUACAUCGGAAUCUACUUUUUCGUGGGGGAGAACGUAGGGAAACUUACGCUAAUACCGCAUACGACCUACGGGUGAAAGCAGGGGAUCUUCGGACCUUGCGCGAUUGAAUGAGCCGAUGUCGGAUUUGCUAGUUGGCGGGGUAAAGGCCCACCAAGGCGACGAUCCGUAGCCGGUCUGAGAGGAUGAUCGGCCACCCUGGAACUGAGACACGGUCAAGACUCCUACGGGAGGCAGCAGUGGGGAAUAUUGGGCAAUGGGCGCAAGCCUGAUCCAGCCAUACCGCGUGGGUGAAGAAGGCCUUCGGGUUGUAAAGACCUUUUGUUGGGAAAGAAAAGCAGCAGGUUAAUACCCCGCUGUUCUGACGGUACCCAAAGAAUAAGCACCGGCUAACUUCGUG
Molecule: ribosomal RNA, 492 nt
Filed under: uncultured bacterium
Lineage: Bacteria
Description: partial 16S ribosomal RNA
Rfam family: Bacterial small subunit ribosomal RNA
Source: RNAcentral